CUCUGAGCUGAGUUUCCUCUUCUCUUCUUUUCCCCCUUUCACCCCUGAUCUAGAGACACACCGUGUCAGCGACAACACUGCGGACUUGCUCUCUCUGCCUCUCCUCCCUUUAGUUCGUGGCCUCACGGUCUGUGGCUCAGCCUCUCCUCCCUCUCGGCAUCGCAAUCUGGGAUCUCGAUCCCUCAAUCUCGACAAGUGACUCACGGUACUCUCGCUGCUCGCUCACGAUUUCAGAUUCUUGGCCUCUCCUCCCUCACAGUGCUCAUUUCUUGGCCAGCUCGAUCUCAGCGACGGACUGCUCGCGACGGACUCCUCUAGGUGCCAGCGAGUCACGACGGCAAGUUGCUUCAGGUGCUUGCCCUCUGACUCCAUCAGCUUGCGAUUCAAGUCUCUGCUUCGGCCUUCAGGUCUGUAUCUAAAAUUCUACACUAAAUGAGGAGCGAUAUAUGGAGCCGAACAAAGUUACUUGAGAACAUUCCAAUGACAAGGAUUUCAACAACAUGCAAAGUUUUGAUCAACCACUAUCCUCUUACCAAAAAUGGGUUACUUGAGAACGUCAUAUGCCGUCAAGACCAUUAGAUGACAUUAGCGAAGGUAAUUUGCUGUAAUUCUACUAACACCUUUGCUAACAUAGUAAAAAUGUACUGAUGACAUGAAAAUAGGUUGACCAUGAAAAUAUAAGCAAUCUAGUACAUGUAAAUUUUUUCCCCUAUUUUAUCUCUUGUAUUUAUUAACCUAUAUCUUUGUGUAAAUAUAUCCCUCACUUAUCAUGGAGUACACCGGUAAUUUCUAGGGGCAAAAAGGAAAAACAAUAUAUAUUUUUAUGGGAAUGAGAACUUUAUUCGUAUGCAGAUUUUUCCUAAAAACUACUUAUAUUUUUUUAUCAAAGGAGUAAUUAAUUAAAAAUGAUCAGUUAAAAACUUUAGAUCCCAGCCAUUCAUUUCUGGACCAGUCAAAGUUCAAUCUCGCCACCAUGUAUGAUGUAUCACAAUUGAUAGUCCUCAUCAAACCCAACUAUCAUUUGAGGAUUUUUGGGAGGCACAAAGCUCCUCCUCUGCACAAUUGCACCCAUUGUUGAGCCACUGCCAGGGAUGAGACUUGCAUCAGGGUUAUUAGCAACAACAUAAAGGGUUGCUUGAAGGGUGCUGCGUCAGUGUAGGAGAUGAUUGGCUGAAUUGAGUAGUGGCUUGCUUCUCCUUUCCAUUUGACAGCACUGCAUCGGUGCAACAGACAACAGUGAAUCUCUGCUGGCCAAUGCAUCUGCAGCGAUUCAGGUGAACUGUGAUUCCUUGUUUUGGUUAAGCAAUGAUUAAACUUUGUGACCCCAGAAGAAAGUUAUACUUGAAUUGGAGGGUUUUUGCCAAAAUGUACUGUGCAAAUGAACAACUGCAGGACAUUUUAGAUAUAACUAGAAAAUUAUGCAAGGUUAUAAUGUCGUCUCCCACAUUAGCACUUGAUACUGCUCUUAAUCAAACUGGAAUUAGAGUUUCACCAGAUAUAGUUGAGAAUGUUCUUAAGAGAUUUGAGAAUGCUGGUAUGGUGGCGUAUAGGUUUUUUGAAUGGGCUGAGAAGCAGCAAAAUUACUCACACAGCAUCAGGGCAUACCACACAAUGAUCAAAUCUUUGGCAAAGAUAAGGCAGUAUCAAAUCAUGUGGGACCUGGUAAAUGCUAUGAAGAAAAAGGAAAUGCUAAAUGUUGAGACCUUUUGUAUUAUUAUGAGAAAUUAUGCUAGGGCUCAGAAGGUAGAUGAGGCCCUUUACACAUUUAAUGUCAUGGAAAAAUAUAAUAUAUCUCCGAAUCUAGCUGCCUUCAAUGGUUUGCUGAGCGCUUUAUGCAAGUCCAAGAAUGUAAGGAAGGCUCAAGAGAUCUUUGACCAUACAAAGGAUCGAUUUGUUCCAGACUCAAAAACUUACAGCAUAUUGCUUGAGGGAUGGGGAAAGGCUCCAAAUCUUCCAAAAGCAAGAGAGAUUUUCAGAGAAAUGGUUGACAUGGGAUGCAACCCUGAUAUAGUCACCUAUGGCAUAAUGGUUGACGUUCUUUGUAAAGCAGGAAGAGUUGAUGAGGCUGUUGAGGUUGUUAAGGACAUGGAUGCCAACAAUUGCAGGCCAACAUCUUUCAUUUAUAGUGUCCUGGUUCAUACAUAUGGAGUUGAACUUCGGAUUGAAGAUGCUAUUGAUACAUUCCUAGAGAUGGAAAGGAAUGGAGUUAAGGCAGAUAUUGUGGUUUAUAAUGCCUUGAUCAGUGCUUUUUGUAAAGUAAACAAAUUUAAAAACGUGUAUAGAGUCUUAAACGAAAUGGAAUGCAAGGGUGUCAUUCCUAAUUCUAGGACCUAUAACAUAAUCAUAAGCAGCUUGAUUGGUAAUGAUGAGAGUGAUGAGGCUUAUGGUGUCUUCCGCAGGAUGAUCAAGUCUUGCGAACCAGAUGCUGAUACUUAUACAAUGAUGAUAAAAAUGUUUUGUGAGGGAAAUGAUUUGGAGAGGGCUCUGAAGAUAUGGAAAUAUAUGAAACUAAAACGGUUUGUCCCAAGCAUGCACACUUUUGCAGUGCUUAUAAAUGGGCUGUGUGAGAAGGGCAAUGUUACAGAAGCUUGUGUUUUAUUGGAGGAUAUGAUAGAGAAGGGAAUUCGGCCAUCAGGUGUCACAUUUGGGAAGCUAAGACAGUUGCUUAUUAAGGAAGGAAGAGAAGAUGUGCUCAAAUUUCUUCAGGAGAAGAUGAAUCUUCUUGUCAAGGAGCCGCUGUGUGACUAAAAAGCAUUCCUGGAAACCAGAAACUGGUAACAUGUUAUAAAUGUGGUGAGGCAAUCAAUUUUGCAGCCAAUACUGUUGGAUUUUGAUGCCCUAUCGAUUAGGUUGGAUAUUAGCUGCUGACAGGUCAACUUUUCCCCUUUCACUGCCUGCAGUUGUUUGAAUAUUUGUGCACAUCUUUUAUUGUGCCAGUUUUUUAUUAUAAUCCACAUGUAAUUGCCACAUAGUGCUACAUCAAUCGUUACAGAAGAACAGUCAGAUGGACAUUUGGUUAAGUUUUCAAAAGUCAAAACAAGCAAGGAAUCUGGAAGUGGAAGAAGGGGACAGAGAAUUACAAAGUUGGGUGAACACCUGGCAGGGCUUGCCCAGGUUUACACUUGAUCUUUGUAUUUCAGUACAAUGCAUGCCCAUCCUGAUGGCCUAGUGGCAUACAUCUCGCCUGACACCAGAUCUCUAGCACAAUCCCACAUGCAACCUUUUAUAAUUUAAAGAUAAAGGAUCAACAUUUUUAUGAGUAAAGAUCAAAGCUGCUACACGGUGUUAUGUAUAGAGAUUAAAGCUCACUGUGUGUUGAUGGCGAAAAGAAUUCCCUUUAUCAAAUCAUGUGGACUUGAAACCAGGAGCUUCAAAUACACUUCGUGAUCUUAGUCAGAUCUUCAUUUUUCAUUGGGCAAAAAGAAAAAGCUAUUCAUUUUUCAAUUGGCUAAGAACCAUAAUAUAUUAUUCGCCAUGCACAAGUGCCUGUUAGUUGUAUUCCGAUGCUGGAAAUCGUGAUUUUGAAGUCCAAACCACGUUUUGCCAAGAGCGGUUACCGAUCGCCGCAAUUUCUGAAACCAUAUUUAGGAACUUUAAAACCAAGCACAUUUUGACUUCGAAUCACGUUUAAGAUCAAAACCUUGAUUAGGGAAGGGGUGACAUACAGCGUGAGUUUGAAUUGUAAGUUAUAAAACGGAAGUUUUUACUAUAAAGGUUUGUUUGUAUAUCCAUUAGAAAAAAAUUAGUUAUCAUGAUUGAUUUUGAAUAUAAUUGAUUAUGCUAUUUUUUAAAA
RNA transcript from Prosopis cineraria, 3793 nucleotides. It is a transcript of the gene named pentatricopeptide repeat-containing protein At1g77360, mitochondrial, with no coding region annotated. The record is from RefSeq and is a predicted model, not a curated record. The transcript has 4 exons. Lineage: Eukaryota; Viridiplantae; Streptophyta; Magnoliopsida; Fabales; Fabaceae.